Molecule: ribosomal RNA, 301 nt
Filed under: uncultured bacterium
Lineage: Bacteria
Description: partial 16S ribosomal RNA
Rfam family: Bacterial small subunit ribosomal RNA
Source: RNAcentral
CAGCCGCCGCGGGAAUACGUAGGUGGCAAGCGUUGUCCGGAUUUAUUGGGCGUAAAGCGAGCGCAGGCGGUUAGAUAAGUCUGAAGUGAAAGGCAGUGGCUCAACCAUUGUAGGCUUUGGAAACUGUUUAACUUGAGUGCAGAAGGGGAGAGUGGAAUUCCAUGUGUAGCGGUGAAAUGCGUAGAUAUUCGGAGGAACACCAGUGGCGAAGGCGGCUCACUGGUCCAUUACUGACGCUGAGGUGCGAAAGCGUGGGGAGCAAACAGGAUUAGAUACCCCAGUAGUCCCUGUCUCUUAUACA